RNAcentral lists this ribosomal RNA (292 nucleotides) under uncultured bacterium. RNAcentral describes it as "partial 16S ribosomal RNA". It matches the Rfam family "Bacterial small subunit ribosomal RNA", at positions 505 to 796 of the family's 1533-position model. The record is from RNAcentral.
GUGUCAGCAGCCGCGGUAAGACGGAGGAGGCAAGCGUUAUCCGGAAUUAUUGGGCGUAAAGCGUCCGCAGGCGGUUUUUUAAGUCUGUUGUCAAAGGUCACAGCUCAACUGUGGAUCGGCAAUGGAAACUGGGAGACUAGAGUGUGGUAGGGGUAGAGGGAAUUCCCGGUGUAGCGGUGAAAUGCGUAGAUAUCGGGAAGAACACCAGUGGCGAAGGCGCUCUACUGGGCCACAACUGACGCUGAGGGACGAAAGCUAGGGGAGCGAAAGGGAUUAGAUACCCGAGUAGUCC